GCCUGCUAGCCGCAGUAUUUUGACUGUGCUAAGGUAGCAUAAUCAUUAGUCUUUUAAUUGAAGGCUGGUAUGAAUGGCAAGACGAGAAAGAAGCUGUCUUUGAAUUUCAUUUUUAAGUGAAAAAGCUUAAAUGUAUUUAAGGGACGAUCAGACCCUAUGGAGCUUUUUUGUUGGGGCGACAAUAAUUGAUCCCUAAAGAAGGAUUAAAAGACUAAGUUACCCUAGGGAUAACAGCGUAAUUUUUUUGGAGAGUUCAAAUCGAUAAAAAAGUUUGCGACCUCGAUGUUGGAUUAGGAAUUUAACUAGGUGCAGAAGUUUAGUUGUAGAGUCUGUUCGACUUUUAAAAUCCU
This 350-nucleotide ribosomal RNA is filed under the name Bosmina sp. 2 JRdW-2005. RNAcentral's name for it is "partial 16S ribosomal RNA". It matches the Rfam family "Bacterial large subunit ribosomal RNA", at positions 1857 to 2597 of the family's 2925-position model. The record is from RNAcentral. Lineage: Eukaryota; Metazoa; Arthropoda; Branchiopoda; Diplostraca; Bosminidae.